GUAGCAAGUGAAUUAUAAUUCGCUGCUACUGUAGCAGUGAAUUGUAAUUCCUACUGUAGCAGUGAAUUAAAAUGCAAAAGAAGCGGGGCUUACCUCAACGCAGGAACGGAGAUGAUAACUGAAGCGUGGUGGUCGGCCGUUCUCCUCUCCUCUGCUUUACUAUGUCUCUGAUUCUCGUUUUCCUUUACUUUUUGCUGUUUUUUUUUUGUGUUCCUCUGUCUUUAAUUCCUUCCCUUUACUGGCUUCCUCUGUCCAUGUCCGUCUCUCUCUAGCUCUCGCCUGUUCUGUCCGUUCGGUCCUCUUCCUUCCCCCUCUGUUCUCCCUCUUCUUUUGCUCUGUCCAGUCUUCUCCGUUCAGGAAGAAGACGGUUGUGGUAAAAGCACGAGGUGCUGCUGGUUGAAUGGACCAAAACUUUGCCCUGGUUCUGUUUCUCCUCCCCUUUCGUUUCUGUUCUGCCUCCUCUCUCUCAGUCUUCCCCCCUCUCGCGAGGUUGCCUUUACCCGGCUUUUUAUAGAGUCAGAGAUCGAUCGGCGCUGGUAACGGCCGGCAGUAAUGGCCGUGGGGUGCUGCAUUCAAUGGAGAAACGUCUCUGCCUUUAAUGCCGGAGCCGUUACCGAGGAAGAAGACGACGAACAGUCGCUUGCCAAAACGACUUCGUUUUCCAAUUCCAAAGGCUGCUUUAAAUGUGGUCCUUGGAAUUCUUGUAAUGUUGCAAUCAAGCCCCUGGUUAAAAUGUAAUUGGAUACUUGCAUUUCGGUGCCUUUUACAAGCUAGUCCUUGGACUUUAAUAUGUUGCACUUUUGACCCCAAUUAACCCCAAACUUUGAUAUUUCUUCAAUUAAGCCUUUGAUUUCAUUAAUUAAAUUAAUCCUAAGCUCCAUUAAGCCUCAAAACUUAUCAAUUCUCCAAUUAAGCCCUUGAUUUGAUUAAUUUAAUUAAUUCUCAACUUAAUUAAGUCUCUCAAUUCUUCAAUUAAGCCCUUGAUUUAUUAAUUAAAGUAGUCAAGAGUUUAAUUAAUCUCUCUAAACUUCCAAUCAUGUUGCCUUAACCUACAUUUUAAUUCACUCUUCAUUUAUUUAACUUUUUAUUUGUUUUUCAUCAAUAAUUUUUUUAUAUUUUUAGGAAAUAUUGUAAAAAUCAAUAAAUAAAUAAAUAACACAAAAAAAAUUAAAUAAAAAAGUAAAAAAUUGGAUUAUGACAAGGUUCAUGGAUCCUUUAACUAAUGCAUAAUUUUACUACCAGAAAAUCUACGAAAACAAACAAAAUCACAUAUAUAUUUUUUCUAUCCGUAUUGUGAGGUGAUAUGUAUUUAUAUCUAACCUUAUCUAUUUGUUCUAUAAACAUAUUUGCAACCAGUUACUCCCAUCAUUCUAGGAUAUAUAUAUUCCUCUGACUAACAAAUCAGGUAAAAAUUCUGAUUGGUCAAGCAAAUCAGCGCGGGACUGAUGCAAGCAUUCUUUCCACGACAAACAACUAUGACGAUGCAAGCAAGGGAAGUACUAAACGUCCAUACAUUUAUACCAAGGAUGCCAUUGAUUACAGUGGGGACUUCCCAGUUUCAAAGGUAGAGCCACUAUGAGUGAGCUCAGAGUCCUUGGUAUGAGCUUGGCUUGGCAAAUGUUUCAGUGAUACUUCUUACUUGAGAGUACGAGUUGCAUUUCUCUUGUAUUGUUUUCACUUUUGUAGCACACUCCAACUGUGCCGAACUCGAAAAAUCAAAAUCAUUAAACGAGCCAAACUCCAACUGUCAAA
Populus trichocarpa (black cottonwood) is the source of this 1752-nucleotide long non-coding RNA. RefSeq lists it as uncharacterized. Lineage: Eukaryota; Viridiplantae; Streptophyta; Magnoliopsida; Malpighiales; Salicaceae. The transcript has 2 exons. The record is from RefSeq and is a predicted model, not a curated record.